Molecule: ribosomal RNA, 429 nt
Filed under: Gemmatimonadota bacterium
Lineage: Bacteria; Pseudomonadati; Gemmatimonadota
Description: Gemmatimonadetes bacterium partial 16S ribosomal RNA
Rfam family: Bacterial small subunit ribosomal RNA
Source: RNAcentral
UAGGGAAUCUUCGGCAAUGGACGAAAGUCUGACCGAGCAACGCCGCGUGAGUGAAGAAGGUUUUCGGAUCGUAAAACUCUGUUGUUAGAGAAGAACAAUGACGUUAGUAACUGAACGUCCCCUGACGGUAUCUAACCAGAAAGCCACGGCUAACUACGUGCCAGCAGCCGCGGUAAUACGUAGGUGGCAAGCGUUGUCCGGAUUUAUUGGGCGUAAAGCGAGCGCAGGCGGUUUCUUAAGUCUGAUGUGAAAGCCCCCGGCUCAACCGGGGAGGGUCAUUGGAAACUGGGAGACUUGAGUGCAGAAGAGGGGAGUGUAAUUCCAUGUGUAGCGGUGAAGUGCGUAGGUAUAUGGAGGAACACCAGUGGCGAAGGCGGCUCUCUGGUCUGUAACUGACGCUGAGGCUCGAAAGCGUGGGGAGCAAACAGG